CCCUGUAGCUCAGAAAGUAAAGAAUCUGCCUGCAAUGCAGGAGACCCGGGUUUGAUCCCUGGUUCAGGGA
RNAcentral lists this transfer RNA (70 nucleotides) under Ovis aries (sheep). It matches the Rfam family "tRNA". From Rfam's summary of the family: Transfer RNA (tRNA) molecules are approximately 80 nucleotides in length. Their secondary structure includes four short double-helical elements and three loops (D, anti-codon, and T loops). Further hydrogen bonds mediate the characteristic L-shaped molecular structure. tRNAs have two regions of fundamental functional importance: the anti-codon, which is responsible for specific mRNA codon recognition, and the 3' end, to which the tRNAs corresponding amino acid is attached (by aminoacyl-tRNA synthetases). tRNAs cope with the degeneracy of the genetic code in two manners: having more than one tRNA (with a specific anti-codon) for a particular amino acid; and 'wobble' base-pairing, i.e. permitting non-standard base-pairing at the 3rd anti-codon position. Lineage: Eukaryota; Metazoa; Chordata; Mammalia; Artiodactyla; Bovidae. The record is from Rfam by way of RNAcentral.